Molecule: unclassified non-coding RNA, 345 nt
Filed under: soil metagenome
Description: partial contains 5.8S ribosomal RNA, internal transcribed spacer 2, and large subunit ribosomal RNA
Rfam family: 5.8S ribosomal RNA (bases 1-120)
Source: RNAcentral
GAUGAAGAACGCAGCGAAAUGCGAUACGUAAUGUGAAUUGCAGAAUUCAGUGAAUCAUCGAGUCUUUGAACGCACAUUGCGCCCCCUGGUAUUCCGGGGGGCAUGCCUGUCCGAGCGUCAUUGCUGCCCUCAAGCCCGGCUUGUGUGUUGGGUCUCGUCCCCCUUCCCGGGGGGACGGGCCCGAAAGGCAGCGGCGGCACCGCGUCCGGUCCUCGAGCGUAUGGGGCUUUGUCACCCGCUCUGUAGGCCCGGCCGGCGCUUGCCGAUCAACCAAAACUUUUUUCCAGGUUGACCUCGGAUUAGGUAGGGAUACCCGCUGAACUUAAGCAUAUCAAUAAGCGGAGA